This 247-nucleotide ribosomal RNA is filed under the name Hypholoma sp. RNAcentral describes it as "partial 28S ribosomal RNA". It matches the Rfam family "Eukaryotic large subunit ribosomal RNA", at positions 104 to 344 of the family's 3401-position model. The record is from RNAcentral. Lineage: Eukaryota; Fungi; Basidiomycota; Agaricomycetes; Agaricales; Strophariaceae.
AAAGCUCAAAUUUAAAAUCUGGCGGUCUUUGGCCGUCCGAGUUGCAAUCUAGAGAAGUGUUAUCCGCGCUGGACCGUGUACAAGUCUCCUGGAAUGGAGCGUCAUAGAGGGUGAGAAUCCCGUCUUUGACACGGACUGCCAGGGCUUUGUGAUACGCUCUCAAAGAGUCGAGUUGUUUGGGAAUGCAGCUCAAAAUGGGUGGUAAAUUCCAUCUAAAGCUAAAUAUUGGGGAGANACCNAUAGCGAA